This is a small nuclear RNA of Loxodonta africana (African savanna elephant), 107 nucleotides long. The record is from Ensembl. Lineage: Eukaryota; Metazoa; Chordata; Mammalia; Proboscidea; Elephantidae.
CUGCUCACUUCUGCAGCACAUGUACUAAAAUUGGAAUGAUACAGAAGAGAUUAGCAUGCCCCCCGCACAAGGAUGAUGCUCAAAUUUGUGAAGUGUUUCAUAUUCUU